UACCCUUCACUACGGAAUAGUCCCGGGAAACUGGGUUUAAUACCGUAUACGCCCUUCGGGGGAAAGAAUUUCGGUGAGGGAUCGGCCCGCGUUAGAUUAGUUAGUUGGUGGGGUAAUGGCCUACCAAGACUACGAUCUAUAGCUGGUUUGAGAGGAUGAUCAGCAACACUGGGACUGAGACACGGCCCAGACUCCUACGGGAGGCAGCAGUGGGGAAUCUUAGACAAUGGGGGCAACCCUGAUCUAGCGAUGCCGCGUGAGUGAUGAAGGCCUUAGGGUCGUAAAGCUCUUUCGCCUGUGAUGAUAAUGACAGUAGCAGGUAAAGAAACCCCGGCUAACUCCGUGCCAGCAGCCGCGGUAAUACGGAGGGGGUUAGCGUUGUUCGGAAUUACUGGGCGUAAAGCGCACGUAGGCGGAUUAGUCAGUCAGAGGUGAAAUCCCAGGGCUCAACCCUGGAACUGCCUUUGAUACUGCUAGUCUUGAGUUCGAGAGAGGUAAGUGGAAUUCCGAGUGUAGAGGUGAAAUUCGUAGAUAUUCGGAGGAACACCAGUGGCGAAGGCGGCUUACUGGCUCGAUACUGACGCUGAGGUGCGAAAGUGUGGGGAGCAAACAGGAUUAGAUACCCUGGUAGUCCACACCGUAAACGAUGAAUGCCAGUCGUCGGGUAGCAUGCUAUUCGGUGACACACCUAACGGAUUAAGCAUUCCGCCUGGGGAGUACGGUCGCAAGAUUAAAACUCAAGGAAUUGACGGGGGCCCGCACAAGCGGUGGA
RNAcentral lists this ribosomal RNA (772 nucleotides) under Celeribacter halophilus. RNAcentral's name for it is "bacterial SSU rRNA". It matches the Rfam family "Bacterial small subunit ribosomal RNA", at positions 127 to 936 of the family's 1533-position model. The record is from RNAcentral. Lineage: Bacteria; Pseudomonadati; Pseudomonadota; Alphaproteobacteria; Rhodobacterales; Roseobacteraceae.